Molecule: ribosomal RNA, 718 nt
Filed under: Enterobacter sp. B2(2015)
Lineage: Bacteria; Pseudomonadati; Pseudomonadota; Gammaproteobacteria; Enterobacterales; Enterobacteriaceae
Description: bacterial SSU rRNA
Rfam family: Bacterial small subunit ribosomal RNA
Source: RNAcentral
CAGUCGACGGUAGCACAGAGAGCUUGCUCUCGGGUGACGAGUGGCGGACGGGUGAGUAAUGUCUGGGAAACUGCCUGAUGGAGGGGGAUAACUACUGGAAACGGUAGCUAAUACCGCAUAACGUCGCAAGACCAAAGAGGGGGACCUUCGGGCCUCUUGCCAUCAGAUGUGCCCAGAUGGGAUUAGCUAGUAGGUGGGGUAACGGCUCACCUAGGCGACGAUCCCUAGCUGGUCUGAGAGGAUGACCAGCCACACUGGAACUGAGACACGGUCCAGACUCCUACGGGAGGCAGCAGUGGGGAAUAUUGCACAAUGGGCGCAAGCCUGAUGCAGCCAUGCCGCGUGUAUGAAGAAGGCCUUCGGGUUGUAAAGUACUUUCAGCGGGGAGGAAGGUGUUGUGGUUAAUAACCGCAGCAAUUGACGUUACCCGCAGAAGAAGCACCGGCUAACUCCGUGCCAGCAGCCGCGGUAAUACGGAGGGUGCAAGCGUUAAUCGGAAUUACUGGGCGUAAAGCGCACGCAGGCGGUCUGUCAAGUCGGAUGUGAAAUCCCCGGGCUCAACCUGGGAACUGCAUUCGAAACUGGCAGGCUAGAGUCUUUGUAGAGGGGGGUAGAAUUCCAGGUGUAGCGGUGAAAUGCGUAGAGAUCUGGAGGAAUACCGGUGGCGAAGGCGGCCCCCUGGACAAAGACUGACGCUCAGGUGCGAAAGCGUGGGGAG